This 415-nucleotide ribosomal RNA is filed under the name Porticoccaceae bacterium. Its description in RNAcentral is "bacterial SSU rRNA". It matches the Rfam family "Bacterial small subunit ribosomal RNA", at positions 1 to 421 of the family's 1533-position model. Lineage: Bacteria; Pseudomonadati; Pseudomonadota; Gammaproteobacteria; Cellvibrionales; Porticoccaceae. The record is from RNAcentral.
GAACUGAAGAGUUUGAUCAUGGCUCAGAUUGAACGCUGGCGGCAGGCCUAACACAUGCAAGUCGAGCGCGAAAACACUUCGGUGUGAGUAGAGCGGCGGACGGGUGAGUAAUGCUUGGGAAUCUGCCCAGUAGUGGGGGAUAACGUGUGGAAACGCACGCUAAUACCGCAUACGUCCUACGGGAGAAAGCAGGGGAUCUUCGGACCUUGCGCUAUUGGAUGAGCCCAAGUCAGAUUAGCUAGUUGGUGGGGUAAUGGCUCACCAAGGCGACGAUCUGUAGCUGGUCUGAGAGGAUGAUCAGCCACACUGGGACUGAGACACGGCCCAGACUCCUACGGGAGGCAGCAGUGGGGAAUAUUGCACAAUGGGCGAAAGCCUGAUGCAGCCAUGCCGCGUGUGUGAAGAAGGCUCUAGG